Long non-coding RNA from Mercenaria mercenaria, 765 nucleotides. RefSeq lists it as uncharacterized. The record is from RefSeq and is a predicted model, not a curated record. Lineage: Eukaryota; Metazoa; Mollusca; Bivalvia; Venerida; Veneridae. The transcript has 2 exons.
GUUUACAUUACUGUAAAUCACUAUGUUUCGGCAAAAGACUUAUUUUGGUGGAAAUCCCAUGGUAUUAAUCAUUUUAAGAAAGCCUUUUCUCUUUGUAACAGUAAUUUUCUAUCAAAGUUUCAUUCAGUUUUAGCUUGAGAUCGUAUUUUCUCUGGUUGGUUUGGUUGGUUGACAGCGUUCGUCCGUACAAAAAUUGAUCGUUUCCGAACGUCAAUCGAGCGAUUUUCGAACGUCGAACACUGGACGUCAACUAAAACGAACCGUCGAACAUUUUCCGAACAAGUUCUUGUUCGUUUCCUUAGAUUUAGUAUAAAUAGGGCUGGAAAUGUUCGACUGCAGUCAGUUUUACAACAGCUUUCUAGCAUACGUUACGGCUAAAGAACAGUAAUUUUACGAAAUUAAAUGGUACUUAAACCAGUUGGACUUUCCAUUUACCUCUUUGGACUAAAGCUAAAACACUACAUAACUGGUCUGCAAUAUCUAGAAUUUGAUACGCAUUUUUGGAAACGUAGAUGAUCUAUUUUAUAAUUAUUUUCGCAUUUAAUACUGGUCACUGACUCAAACAAGAUCUUUAUAUAGAAAAGCCGUAUUAUAAUAUUUAUUAACCAAACUUCGUCUAUUUCUACGGAGGAUUUUGAACGUCAGAAGUGUGCGCCGUUUCGAAGCAUAAAUUAUACGUUCACGAACAUAUUUUUCGUACAUGUUGGAAAUCAUCAAGUCGUAAAGCCAGAUUAUAGGCAUCUAUUAAAAUCAGUAAAGUUGGAA